AGAAUCAACGCUGGCGGCGUGCCUAACACAUGCAAGUCGCACGAGAAAGGGGAGCAAUCCCUGAGUAAAGUGGCGCACGGGUGAGUAACACGUGAAUAAUCUACCUCCGAGUGGGGAAUAACUGAGAGAAAUCUUAGCUAAUACCGCAUAACACUUACGAGUCAAAGCAGCAAUGCGCUUGGAGAGGAGUUCGCGGCCGAUUAGUUAGUUGGCGGGGUAAUGGCCCACCAAGACGAUGAUCGGUAUCCGGCCUGAGAGGGCGCACGGACACACUGGAACUGAAACACGGUCCAGACUCCUACGGGAGGCAGCAGUGGGGAAUUUUGCGCAAUGGGGGAAACCCUGACGCAGCAACGCCGCGUGGAGGAUGAAGCCCCUUGGGGUGUAAACUCCUUUCGAUCGGGAAGAUAAUGACGGUACCGAUAUAAGAAGCCCGGCUAACUUCGUGCCAGCGCGC
RNAcentral lists this ribosomal RNA (457 nucleotides) under uncultured bacterium. Its description in RNAcentral is "SSU rRNA". It matches the Rfam family "Bacterial small subunit ribosomal RNA", at positions 26 to 518 of the family's 1533-position model. The record is from RNAcentral.